UUUCACCAUGAACCGUACCAUAUUUUCACUUUAUUUUACAUUUUCUUAAAAAAUAACCUCAAAACACAUGAAAUUAAAGCAAUGCUGCUAACAUCAGUUGACAUCACGAUAGAAAAGGACGCAAUGCACGCACUCUUGGCAGCCCUUGAAAAUAAGAGGUUACUUUACUGUGAAAAGGGGCGUGGUUUAGCCAAAUUGGGCACACAAUAGGUUUGUUCGAGUUGCUUGAAAUCCCCCAAAAUUUUUGCACUCGAGAUGAGAUAAAUAUUCGAUCGUAAGAGAGAGACGACAAAGAAAUUAAUUCAAAAAGGGCAGCAAAACGAACAGGCCUCAUGUUAUACUUCCACCAUGCUUUUUGCUGUCCUCUUGAUAUUAGCAAAAGAGAGAAGAGAUACGAAUAUUGUCUACCAUUUUUUUUACGCGUGCUUCAAAAGAACCCUUCUCAAUAUCAUCUUAUUUAGGAAUUAAUAUUUUUCUAGAUUGCUCACUAUGAUUUUUUUCAAAUAUUGAAAAAACGAAUAAUUAUCUCAAAAUGAAAGCAAUACACAUAAUAUGUAAAUACAAUAAUUUAUUUUGUUAAUAAUAUGUAAGUAGUUGAGCUACAUUUUUAAUAUUUCUCCAAAAUAAGUGCGCGUAGCGUAGCGUUGUUGCGCAAGUUGUUUACAAAGUAUAAAAAAAUGUAAAUAAAUUGACGAAUCUUAUUACGAGUUUGUUUCUUCAUUUUGUACAGGAUGUUUUUGCAUUUAAACGUAGCUACAUACAAAUGGAAUGUAUCACAGAUAUUUAUGCAUCAUAACAGUUAGACUUGGCAACAUCAUUUUGGAGUAUCCUGUAAAUGCAGUUCUUUGUUAAAAAUCAUACGGUUACAGAAUGGACGUAAAAUGAAAAUUUGUAAUAAAUCAAUUAUUUGAUUGCACUAAUCACUGCCAUUCGGAAACACAGAGAUAGUAUCAUAAUCAAAACACAAAAAUUAUUUAAAUAUUAUAGAAGAUUUAUGUAUAAGUUUGUAAAAUAAACAACCUAUAUAAGAA
Solenopsis invicta (red fire ant) is the source of this 1031-nucleotide long non-coding RNA. RefSeq lists it as uncharacterized. Lineage: Eukaryota; Metazoa; Arthropoda; Insecta; Hymenoptera; Formicidae. The transcript is spliced from 2 exons. The record is from RefSeq and is a predicted model, not a curated record.